UACGUAGGGUGCGAGCGUUAAUCGGAAUUACUGGGCGUAAAGGGUGCGCAGGCGGUUUUGUAAGUCAGAUGUGAAAUCCCCGGGCUUAACCUGGGAAUUGCGUUUGAAACUACAAAACUAGAGUGUAGCAGAGGGAGGUGGAAUUCCAUGUGUAGCAGUGAAAUGCGUAGAGAUAUGGAAGAACAUCGAUGGCGAAGGCAGCCUCCUGGGUUAACACUGACGCUCAUGCACGAAAGCGUGGGGAGCAAAC
Molecule: ribosomal RNA, 250 nt
Filed under: uncultured bacterium
Lineage: Bacteria
Description: partial 16S ribosomal RNA
Rfam family: Bacterial small subunit ribosomal RNA
Source: RNAcentral